This 91-nucleotide small nuclear RNA is filed under the name Sus scrofa (pig). RNAcentral describes it as "U2 spliceosomal RNA (ENSSSCG00015053841.1, ENSSSCG00050006723.1, ENSSSCG00085038420.1)". It matches the Rfam family "U2 spliceosomal RNA". Rfam says of the family: U2 is a small nuclear RNA (snRNA) component of the spliceosome (involved in pre-mRNA splicing). Complementary binding between U2 snRNA (in an area lying towards the 5' end but 3' to hairpin I) and the branchpoint sequence (BPS) of the intron results the bulging out of an unpaired adenosine, on the BPS, which initiates a nucleophilic attack at the intronic 5' splice site, thus starting the first of two transesterification reactions that mediate splicing. Lineage: Eukaryota; Metazoa; Chordata; Mammalia; Artiodactyla; Suidae. The record is from RNAcentral.
AUCGCUUCUCGGCCUUUUGGCUAAGAUCAAGUGUAGCAUCUGUUCUUAUCAGUUUUUUUUUUUUUUUUUGUCUUUUCUAGGGUCACACCCA